This 460-nucleotide ribosomal RNA is filed under the name uncultured bacterium. RNAcentral describes it as "partial 16S ribosomal RNA". It matches the Rfam family "Bacterial small subunit ribosomal RNA", at positions 338 to 795 of the family's 1533-position model. The record is from RNAcentral.
CCUACGGGAGGCAGCAGUGAGGAAUAUUGGUCAAUGGCCGGAAGGCUGAACCAGCCAUGCCGCGUGAAGGUCAGUGCCCUAUGGGCGUUAAACUUCUUUUGUGCGGGAGCAAUAAUGGUCACGUGUGGCCAGACGAGAGUACCGUACGAAUAAGCAUCGGCUAACCCCGUGCCAGCAGCCGCGGUAAUACGGGGGAUGCAAGCGUUAUCCGGAUUUAUUGGGUUUAAAGGGUGCGUAGGCUGUGAGGUAAGUCAGCGGUGAAAUGCCCCCGCUCAACGGGGUGAAGUGCCAUUGAUACUGGCGUGCUGGAAUGCGGAUGCCGUGGGAGGAAUGGGUGGUGUAGCGGUGAAAUGCAUAGAUAUCACACAGAACACCGAUUGCGAAGGCAUCUCACGAAUCCGCGAUUGACGCUGAUGCACGAAAGCGUGGGUAUCAAACAGGAUUAGAUACCCGAGUAGUC